AACGAACGCUGGCGGCAUGCCUAACACAUGCAAGUCGAACGAGACCUUCGGGUCUAGUGGCGCACGGGUGCGUAACGCGUGGGAACCUGCCCUUAGGUUCGGAAUAACUCCCCGAAAGGGGUGCUAAUACCGGAUAAUGUCUUCGGACCAAAGACUUAUCGCCUUUGGAUGGGCCCGCGUUGGAUUAGCUAGUUGGUAGGGUAAAAGCCUACCAAGGCGACGAUCCAUAGCUGGUCUGAGAGGAUGAUCAGCCACACUGGGACUGAGACACGGCCCAGACUCCUACGGGAGGCAGCAGUGGGGAAUAUUGGACAAUGGGCGAAAGCCUGAUCCAGCAAUGCCGCGUGAGUGAUGAAGGCCUUAGGGUUGUAAAGCUCUUUUAACCGGGAUGAUAAUGACAGUACCGGGAGAAUAAGCUCCGGCUAACUACGUG
RNAcentral lists this ribosomal RNA (433 nucleotides) under uncultured bacterium. Its description in RNAcentral is "partial 16S ribosomal RNA". It matches the Rfam family "Bacterial small subunit ribosomal RNA", at positions 29 to 507 of the family's 1533-position model. The record is from RNAcentral.